RNAcentral lists this non-coding RNA (190 nucleotides) under Deltaproteobacteria bacterium. Its description in RNAcentral is "6S RNA". It matches the Rfam family "6S / SsrS RNA". Rfam says of the family: E. coli 6S RNA was the first non coding RNA to be sequenced, but its function was unknown until recently. It consists of 184 nucleotides that fold into an extended hairpin structure with a large single-stranded internal bulge. The 6S RNA specifically associates with RNA polymerase holoenzyme containing the sigma70 specificity factor. The record is from RNAcentral. Lineage: Bacteria; Pseudomonadati; Myxococcota; Myxococcia.
UCGGCCCUGCGGGGUUCGUCGAGGGUGUGAAAUGCUGAAAACCCCAGCGGACAGAAAGGGAUCUUUCCCUGGCUGCGGUGAGCAGGCGGAUGCUCGCAUUCGCGUGCCUGAAGCGGUCACCAGAGAACCCACCUAUUGAGUAGGGGGUUGUUCCGCUAGCGCCCGAUGACACGGCUCACGCGGGGCCGGA